AGUGAACGCUGGCGGUAGGCCUAACACAUGCAAGUCGAACGGCAGCACAGUAAGAGCUUGCUCUUACGGGUGGCGAGUGGCGGACGGGUGAGGAAUACAUCGGAAUCUACUUUUUCGUGGGGGAUAACGUAGGGAAACUUACGCUAAUACCGCAUACGACCUACGGGUGAAAGCAGUGGAUCUUCGGACCUUGCGCGAUUGAAUGAGCCGAUGUCGGAUUAGCUAGUUGGCGGGGUAAAGGCCCACCAAGGCGACGAUCCGUAGCUGGUCUGAGAGGAUGAUCAGCAACACUGGAACUGAGACACGGUCAAGACUCCUACGGGAGGCAGCAGUGGGGAAUAUUGGACAAUGGGCGCAAGCCUGAUCCAGCCAUACCGCGUGGGUGAAGAAGGCCUUCGGGUUGUAAAGCCCUUUUGUUGGGAAAGAAAAGCAGCAGGUUAAUACCCAGCUGUUCUGACGGUACCAAAAGAAUAAGCACCGGCUAACUUCGUG
This 492-nucleotide ribosomal RNA is filed under the name uncultured bacterium. RNAcentral's name for it is "partial 16S ribosomal RNA". It matches the Rfam family "Bacterial small subunit ribosomal RNA", at positions 29 to 507 of the family's 1533-position model. The record is from RNAcentral.